AUUAUCGUGGAUGGGAGGGUGGCGGUGAUUGACCUUUGAUGGAGAAAGGAGAUACAGGUGGUGGUCUAUUAUCGUGGAUGGGAGGGUGGCGGUGAUUGACCUUUGAUGGAUAAAGGAGAUACAGGUGGUGGUCUAUUAUCGUGGAUGGGAGGGUGGCGGUGAUUGACCUUUGAUGGAGAAAGGAGAUACAGGUGGUGGUCUAUUAUCGUGGAUGCUGGCAUGGCGGUGAUUGACCUUUAAUGGAGACAGGAGAUACAGGUGGUGGUCUAUUAUCGUGGAUGGGAGGGUGGCGGUGAUUGAUCUUUGAUGGAGAAAGGGGGUACAGGUGGUGGUCUAUUAUCGUGGAUGGGAGGGUGGCGGUGAUUGAUCUUUGAUGGAGAAAGGAGAUACAGGUGGUGGUCUAUUAUCGUGGAUGCUGGCAUGGCGGUGAUUGAUCUUUGAUGGAGAAAGGAGAUACAGGUGGUGGUCUAUUAUCGUGGAUGGGAGGGUGGCGGUGAUUGAUCUUUGAUGGAGAAAGGAGAUACAGGUGGUGGUCUAUUAUCGUGGAUGGGAGGGUGGCGGUGAUUGAUCUUUGAUGGAGAAAGGAGAUACAGGUGGUGGUCUAUUAUCGUGGAUGAGAGUGUGGCGGUGAUUGAUCUUUGAUGGAGAAAGGAGAUACAGGUGGUGGUCUAUUAUCGUGGAUGCUGGCAUGGCGGUGAUUGAUCUUUGAUGGAGAAAGGGGAUACAGGUGGUGGUCUAUUAUCGUGGAUGGGAGGGUGGCGGUGAUUGAUCUUUGAUGGAGAAAGGAGAUACAGGUGGUGGUCUAUUAUCGUGGAUGGGAGGGUGGCGGUGAUUGAUCUUUGAUGGAGAAAGGAGAUACAGGUGGUGGUCUAUUAUCGUGGAUGCUGGCAUGGCGGUGAUUGAUCUUUGAUGGAGAAAGG
This is a long non-coding RNA of Haliotis rufescens (red abalone), 920 nucleotides long. RefSeq lists it as uncharacterized. The transcript has 2 exons. NCBI's taxonomy places the organism in Eukaryota, Metazoa, Mollusca, Gastropoda, Lepetellida, Haliotidae. The record is from RefSeq and is a predicted model, not a curated record.